UACGGAGGGUGCGAGCGUUAAUCGGAAUUACUGGGCGUAAAGCGCGCGCAGGCGGUUUGUUAAGCUAGAUGUGAAAGCCCCGGGCUCAACCUGGGAUGGUCAUUUAGAACUGGCAGACCAGAGUCUUGGAGAGGGGAGUGGAAUUCCAGGUGUAGCGGUGAAAUGCGUAGAUAUCUGGGGGAACAUCAGUGGCGAAGGCGACUCCCUGGCCAAAGACUGACGCUCAUGUGCGGAAGUGUGGGUAGCGAACAGG
This 253-nucleotide ribosomal RNA is filed under the name uncultured bacterium. RNAcentral's name for it is "partial 16S ribosomal RNA". It matches the Rfam family "Bacterial small subunit ribosomal RNA", at positions 524 to 776 of the family's 1533-position model. The record is from RNAcentral.